AUUGAACGCUGGCGGCAUGCCUUACACAUGCAAGUCGAACGGUAACAGGGUGCUUGCACCGCUGACGAGUGGCGAACGGGUGAGUAAUGCGUCGGAACGUGCCGAGUAGUGGGGGAUAACGCAGCGAAAGUUGUGCUAAUACCGCAUACGUACUGAGGUAGAAAGUGGGGGACCUUCGGGCCUCACGCUAUUCGAGCGGCCGACGUCUGAUUAGCUAGUAGGUGAGGUAAAGGCUCACCUAGGCGACGAUCAGUAGCGGGUCUGAGAGGAUGAUACGCCACACUGGGACUGAGACACGGCCCAGACUCCUACGGGAGGCAGCAGUGGGGAAUUUUGGACAAUGGGCGGAAGCCUGAUCCAGCCAUGCCGCGUGUCUGAAGAAGGCCUUCGGGUUGUAAAGGACUUUUGUCAGGGAGGAAAUCCCUAGUGCUAAUAACACUGGGGGAUGACGGUACCUGAAGAAUAAGCACCGGCUAACUACGUGCCAGCCGCCGCCGUAA
RNAcentral lists this ribosomal RNA (500 nucleotides) under uncultured bacterium. Its description in RNAcentral is "partial 16S ribosomal RNA". It matches the Rfam family "Bacterial small subunit ribosomal RNA", at positions 30 to 523 of the family's 1533-position model. The record is from RNAcentral.